RNAcentral lists this ribosomal RNA (515 nucleotides) under uncultured Saccharomyces. RNAcentral describes it as "eukaryotic LSU rRNA". It matches the Rfam family "Eukaryotic large subunit ribosomal RNA", at positions 62 to 578 of the family's 3401-position model. Lineage: Eukaryota; Fungi; Ascomycota; Saccharomycetes; Saccharomycetales; Saccharomycetaceae. The record is from RNAcentral.
AAACCAACCGGGAUUGCCUUAGUAACGGCGAGUGAAGCGGCAAAAAGCUCAAAUUUGAAAUCUGGUACCUUCGGUGCCCGAGUUGUAAUUUGGAGAGGGCGAACUUUGGGGCCGUUCCUUGUCUAUGUUCCUUGGAACAGGACGUCAUAGAGGGUGAGAAUCCCGUGUGGCGAGGAGUGCGGUUCUUUGUAAAGUGCCUUCGAAGAGUCGAGUUGUUUGGGAAUGCAGCUCUAAGUGGGUGGUAAAUUCCAUCUAAAGCUAAAUAUUGGCGAGAGACCGAUAGCGAACAAGUACAGUGAUGGAAAGAUGAAAAGAACUUUGAAAAGAGAGUGAAAAAGUACGUGAAAUUGUUGAAAGGGAAGGGCAUUUGAUCAGACAUGGUGUUUUGUGCCCUCUGCUCCUUGUGGGUAGGGGAAUCUCGCAUUUCACUGGGCCAGCAUCAGUUUUGGUGGCAGGAUAAAUCCAUAGGAAUGUAGCUUGCCUCGGUAAGUAUUAUAGCCUGUGGGAAUACUGCC